AUCAACCAGUCCAUAAUAUCAUUGAUAAUGUAUUGGAUGUUAAAACUGCAAUAAAAAAAACUAACAGUCAAUAUGCUGAUAGCGACGGCUAGCUUUAUCACUGAGUGGAGUGUGUAAGUUUACCUGGAUAGUCUCGAUCAGUCCAGUGACAGUUAAAAUGUCACGGCGAUCUGGGCGAGGUUUUAGGUCAGAUAUUGCGACAUGUUGAACACCGACUACUAUGAGUUGAUUACUCAAUCAGAACACCAUUUUAACUAGAGGACUAGAUGAAUGAAUCGGUAAUUGGUUAUGAACAGGGCAUGGUAUAUAGUAUUAUGUAUAUUAUUGACUGAAUGUAUAUCAGGGUUAUUAGCGGAUACAGGAGUGCUGGAUCCUGCUGAAAUAACUGGUGUGACUAUAGGUACAUUUGUGGUGGUGUUCUGUCUUAUAGAACUCGUACUCUGUAAUUGGGAGCGCAUCAAGAGAAUCUGUAGCUGUUGCUGUUGCUGUGCGGUUGACACUGCAAAUUGUAGGGAGACCAAUGUCCAACUACCAAUCCCAACCAUAAGCAUCGCAGAUCCAGACAAUUUGGAGGACCGAAUUCGAUAUGGAUUGGAACCGGACGUGCCGCGACCUGUCACACCUCGAGACAUUUUACUAAAUGAAACACGUGAAAUCACUCCGUCCGAUCCCCCACCCAGCUACGACGAAGUCAUGGCCAAUACGCACCCAGUCCCAUCUGCGCCUCCAGAACAAAUAUUUUCAUAUGUGCCUUCCAAGCCCCUUUCUCCAUCUGCUCCCGUCCAGCACCUGAUUCCCUCAGCUCCAGCAGAACAAACACCGCCUUCCGCUCCACUGAUAUAGAAUUACAGAUAGUUAGCUAGGCCUAUAUUUACAGUUAGCUAGGCCGGACUUUACAGUGUGCUAGGCCUGGAUUUACAGUGUGCUAGGCCUGGAUUUGCACUUUCCACUGGAAAGAGAAAUUAAACAAUAUGGAAUACAUUGUUACUACUACCGUUAAAAAGGUCGCGUGUUCGAUCCCUGCUUUGGCUGAGAGAUAUUCUGGCGUGUCUCCCCUUGUCAGUGGUACAGAACGGAGGGCCUGACAAGGACAGUCGGGGUUUUAUUGUGGAGAGGGAGGGGUUAUAAUGGUGGAUCCUAACAUUAUGGACGAUCUUAACUGUAUGUAAAACAUGUCGGCCUUGAAUAGUCAUGCACACUUUAUUUAUCUGUGACAUAAAUGAAAGCCGAGAUCAUUUGUUAAAACGGUCGUUUUUGUAUUUUGUAUGUGAUAUUUGAUAUAAAUGAACUGUACAACAUUUGAUAUAAAUGUAUUUAUAACAUGGACGAGAAAUGUUCCUAUGUUCUUUUCGUUGAAUAAGGAGAUUGUUUUCCCUCUAGUAGAUUGGGUGGUGCUGAACCGUGCUAUAACUAAACAUGUUCAAUGUUAUUGCACUCUUUUGCUGGUUUACACUAGUUUUAGUAGAAAUCAUAUAGAGAAGUGGGGUGGGUUUUCUGUGAAAUAACAACGAGCAUGUUGAGCAGGUGCCAAUGUUAAAAGUCAUUUAUAGCACGCUUCAUUCGUUAACAGGCCUCGAUGUUAAAACCUGUUAACUCAUGAAAGCCGUGCUAUAAAUAUAACUUCUAGAACGUUUGAUAUAAAUAUACUUAUAGAACAUUUGAUGUACAUGAUGAACAUUUGAUAUAAAUAUACUUAUAGAACAUUUGAUAUAAAUAUGAAAUGGAAUGGGGUUUAACGUCCUACUGUUGAUAUAACUGAACUCUAUAUAACUGAACUGUAUCGAACGUUUGAUAUAAAUAUACUUAUAGAAGAUUUGAUGUAACUGAACUCUAUAAACAUUUGAUACAACUGUACUCGACAGAACAUUUAAUAUAAUUGCAUACUAAUAUAUAGAAUAUUUUAGAAUUAAAUGUAUCAGAAUUGCAAUGGUGUUUCGUUACAGUUCUGUUAUUUACAAUGGUUCCGGCAAACAAAGGACUCGAAACAAUUUUCUCAAAUGGGCUUUAGCGUCCACUGAAAGCACACUAUACCAUUUUAGAAUUUUAUGUCAGAUAUUCGCUAGACAGAAUAUCUUACGUGUGUAGAAUCGAAACCACCACACCUAACUCAAUGACAGACCUUAUGAUCUAAAGCGCGAACAUUUAACCAUUGGACCACCUAAUUCCCGUAUUUUCAGAUAUCUUGUUCCACCCUCUUUGAGACAGUUAAGAAUUUCCAAUAACCAUUUCAUUCAUUUCCUGCAAAAGCUUACGAAACUAAACCAAAUGAUGUACUGGCAUCUCCUGUCUGGAUACAUUUUGACAAAUUAAUGUUAUGAAUUAAUCCAAAACUUCGAAAGGUAAAAAAAAUGGGGCUGAUAUCUUGAUAUCUGAAGAGAGAAAAAAAAACAUGGUGUUGUUACCAUAGUUAUAAUAUAUCUAAGGAGAAAAAUAACUUCCUAGACUGUGAUUGACUUAAAAUGUAUAUCUUAUAUUUUUGUUUGUCAGUAAUUAUGUAAUAUAAUAUAUAAUACAAUAACGACUAUUCAAGUUUCA
Patella vulgata (common limpet) is the source of this 2535-nucleotide long non-coding RNA. RefSeq lists it as uncharacterized. The transcript has 2 exons. The record is from RefSeq and is a predicted model, not a curated record. Lineage: Eukaryota; Metazoa; Mollusca; Gastropoda; Patellidae.